CCUGGUGGAGCAAACAGUUAAUGCAUUUUGCUGUUAACUGAAAUGUUGGUGGUUCGAGUCUACUCAGCAGCA
RNAcentral lists this transfer RNA (72 nucleotides) under Loxodonta africana (African savanna elephant). It matches the Rfam family "tRNA". Rfam says of the family: Transfer RNA (tRNA) molecules are approximately 80 nucleotides in length. Lineage: Eukaryota; Metazoa; Chordata; Mammalia; Proboscidea; Elephantidae. The record is from Rfam by way of RNAcentral.